AGAACGAACGCUGGCGGCAGGCUUAACACAUGCAAGUCGAGCGCCCCGCAAGGGGAGCGGCAGACGGGUGAGUAACGCGUGGGAACAUACCCUCCGGUUCGGAAUAGCUCAGGGAAACUUGGAUUAAUACCGGAUACGGCCUAGCGGCGAAAGAUUCAUCGCCGGAGGAUUGGCCCGCGUUCGAUUAGCUAGUUGGUGAGGUAACGGCUCACCAAGGCGACGAUCGAUAGCUGGUCUGAGAGGAUGAUCAGCCACAUUGGGACUGAGACACGGCCCAAACUCCUACGGGAGGCAGCAGUGGGGAAUAUUGGACAAUGGGCGCAAGCCUGAUCCAGCCAUGCCGCGUGAGUGAUGACGGCCUUAGGGUUGUAAAGCUCUUUCGCUAGGGACGAUAAUGACGGUACCUAGACAAGAAGCCCCGGACUAACUUCGUGCCAGCAGCCGAC
This 446-nucleotide ribosomal RNA is filed under the name uncultured bacterium. RNAcentral describes it as "SSU rRNA". It matches the Rfam family "Bacterial small subunit ribosomal RNA", at positions 26 to 518 of the family's 1533-position model. The record is from RNAcentral.